GACAGAGGGUGCAAACGUUUUUCGGAAUUACUGGGCGUAAAGCGCGUGUAGGCUGCUCUGCAAGUCGGGUGUGAAAGCCCUGGGCUCAACCUAGGAAGUGCACUCGAAACUGCGGAGCUUGAGUCCUGGAGAGGAAGGCGGAAUUCUCGGUGUAGAGGUGAAAUUCGUAGAUAUCGAGAGGAACACCGGUGGCGAAGGCGGCCUUCUGGACAGUGACUGACGCUGAGACGCGAAAGCGUGGGGAGCAAACAGG
Molecule: ribosomal RNA, 253 nt
Filed under: uncultured bacterium
Lineage: Bacteria
Description: partial 16S ribosomal RNA
Rfam family: Bacterial small subunit ribosomal RNA
Source: RNAcentral